Molecule: long non-coding RNA, 1119 nt
Organism: Rhinopithecus roxellana (golden snub-nosed monkey)
Lineage: Eukaryota; Metazoa; Chordata; Mammalia; Primates; Cercopithecidae
Exons: 3
Source: RefSeq, a predicted model, not a curated record
UACAGGCGAGCGGGAGCUUCCCUGCCCUCUCCAAAGGACCCAGUGAAACAUGGCACUUCUUCUGCAGGAGGGGCAGCCUGCCCCCUCAGCCCAGGCUUCCCCAGGUGCCAUCCCCACCCUGCCUGACACCUCGGAGCAGCAGCUUGGUGACAUGAAAGGAUCUCCGUGGCUGGCCUUACUCCCUGUGGAUGCCACAGCUGCAGGAUACUGGUGCCCCAACAGAAGCCAGUGAAGGAAGAAUUCCUGCUCCAGCAGAAUAAAACUGCCCUUUGCCCAGAAAUCCUGCAAACUGAAGCUGGACGACUUGAAAUAAACAUCAGCGAGAUGAGCACGGAGGCCAGGUGUGAAGGGCCUCACGCCUGUUGCUGUGUGGGCCUCCCAGACAUCACCAGAGACCAAACCGCAGAAGACGCUCGGAGCCCAGGAUCUACAAACCGGCCCCGCCACAGCCCGCACGCCCAGAAACGAGUUUUUCGUCAGCUCCAAUGAUUAGCUUUUUUUUUCCUUUUGUUUCUAAGAAACACCUCUUCAAAGCAUUACGAGACAACACACCAACCCAGUUUCUGUACCAUGGAGCUUCUUGGGGAAGUUUCUGACUAGGAAACAACGGGGCUCAGGACAUAUCACCCCAAAAUAUGACUGUAAGAGGCCAGAAUAUGCCACACCAAAAUGUGACUGUAGGAGACCAGAAUACAUCACCCCAAAAAAUGACUGUAGGAGACCAGAAUAUGUCACCCCAAAAUAUGCCAUGUUGACAUGUUGAUUACUUUGAGCUAAAAGAAACUGAGAACCAGCCAACAGAUAAAAGCUCUUCGACUCCCUAAAAUAAAGCAGUAAAACUCUCUUUUCUAAAGGAAAUUGAUAUCUAUAAAGUACAUUUUCAUUAGUAAUGAUAUGUGCGCCAGGAAGAGAGCCGCGCCAGGACACAUUUUCUCACCAAGAGACUGAUAGCUUCACCACGAGGCAGCCUUUAUACCCAGAUGUUUCCUCCCUCACCCUCUCCUCGUUUGUCUCCACCGCUCCCCAGAAGCCCAGGCCCCCUUUCCUUUCUGUCACUGAGGACAGAUAUCUGCACUGCUCCCAUCUGGCUACUGCUGAGUCUCCUGUUUUUAUGGCACU